GACUUUUCCUAGUCCCUGAGACCCUAACUUGUGAGGUAUUUUAGUAACAUCACAAGUCAGGCUCUUGGGACCUAGGCGGAGGG
Molecule: microRNA precursor, 83 nt
Filed under: Capra hircus (goat)
Lineage: Eukaryota; Metazoa; Chordata; Mammalia; Artiodactyla; Bovidae
Also listed under: 4 other names
Description: microRNA chi-mir-125b precursor
Gene: chi-mir-125b
Rfam family: lin-4 microRNA precursor family (bases 7-76)
About the family: The extents of the hairpin precursors are not generally known and are estimated based on hairpin prediction.
Source: miRBase by way of RNAcentral